CAAUCAUUACACUCUUACUCAAGUGCGAGGAGUGCACUUUAUAAUUAACUACUCAAAACGGCAGUUGGGCGAGGUAACAUCUCAUGUGUUCGAGAAACACCAGCUCGCUCAAGGAAAUAAUCGCAUCCGAAAGGCCUUACGACAGAACUUACACCUCUCUCUUUCCCUCUUACUGUCCCUCUUUAUCUCGCCCCUCGAUGCCGAAGGCGAACCGUUCUGAACUAGCGAGUGAUGUAUCGCGUUCGAUAAUACCGUGCCGAUUGCUUAUCCAGCCGUUUAACGACAAACGAACAUGACAGUUUCGCUGCUGGAAACAAGGCCGGAGAGCAAACCGGAGCAGCGGCCAACGAAGCGCGGCGUUCAUAUACAGUGAGCGCAUCCUGUCGCAUCGAACGGUACCGUUCGUCUCGACGCUCUACGUACCGUUUUGGGUUCCACGUUAUUGCGGCGGACACGCCGGAUUCAUUUCCGCGUGUAUAACCGCACGCACGCACUUCCUGUCAGAGAUAUGAGAACACGCGAAAGCUACGCUGUAAACGACUCUGAAAAACGCACGCUGUCGGCCAUAUUUUCACUUUCUUGGUUCACCGUAGAGGCUAGAGGCAGGGCUUCCAACUCCGUGACGGUAGUCAGGCGGGAGUAGAGUGGAGGGGAUGCGCGCGCAGCCGUGCUCAAGUGCGCGCACGCGCACCGCCGCGCCGCGGUGUAGCGUCACUUUUGGCGCGUGAAGUUGACCGCGCAAGAGACGAAACCACGCUAUAUUAACUACAUUCACGUCCUUUCCAGAACACGACGGACACGGGGCGGGCCGGCUCCGGAGCGAGUGGCAUUGCGGAUUAUUUAAUUGAACGCGGCGGACGCGGGACGGACCGGCUCCGGAAUGAGUGGCGUCGCAGAGUCUUUAACAGAACAAGGCAGGCGCAUAACGGAUCGAAAGCGGAGCGAGCUGCGUCGCAGCUUGUUUAAUAGUACUCGUUCGAGCGAAGAUCAUAACUUGAUGCGCAUCGCGACACUCGAUCGUGGCGCAUCAAGUUGAUCGCACGGGAGAUGAAAUAGCUUCGCCAUUGCAAUUGCGUUUAUGUCUGCAGAACGCGUUGGACACUUUCACAAGACGCGGGACAGAAUGAUUCAGUAGCAUCGCGACACUUUAAUUGAUUGUGGCGGAUGCGAGACAGAUUUGCUCCGAAAUAAAUGGCAUCACAACUUGUGAGAAGAAGGAAGAAGAGAAGAGAAGAGAGGUUAACAACUCCAAAAAAAAGGCGACCUAGGAAAGGCAUUGAGCAUCGAUGGAGCAACAUAGUGAAUCCGCAGCUGGUUCGUCGCUUCGCACGUUUUACUUCGCAAGUAUCAAGUUAUCGGACUCUUGUAAAUGAUUUUAGUUCGCGUACGAUUUUAGUGUAGUAUCGCGAGUGUUUUUUGCGAGUGUGCAACAGAAGGAGGAGAAGAAAGAAGAGGCUUGCCAAUUAUUCUGAGAGGAGGAGGAGACCUGGGAGAGGCAUCGGGCCUCAGCGGAGCAACCUUGGGUAUCAUCGCAGCUUCGUGGCUGAAUAACUCCGCUCGUUGCGCAUCGGAUCGG
Long non-coding RNA from Solenopsis invicta (red fire ant), 1576 nucleotides. RefSeq lists it as uncharacterized. The record is from RefSeq and is a predicted model, not a curated record. The transcript is spliced from 7 exons. Lineage: Eukaryota; Metazoa; Arthropoda; Insecta; Hymenoptera; Formicidae.